Molecule: transfer RNA, 74 nt
Filed under: Patescibacteria group bacterium
Lineage: Bacteria
Description: tRNA-Arg
Rfam family: tRNA
About the family: Transfer RNA (tRNA) molecules are approximately 80 nucleotides in length. Their secondary structure includes four short double-helical elements and three loops (D, anti-codon, and T loops). Further hydrogen bonds mediate the characteristic L-shaped molecular structure. tRNAs have two regions of fundamental functional importance: the anti-codon, which is responsible for specific mRNA codon recognition, and the 3' end, to which the tRNAs corresponding amino acid is attached (by aminoacyl-tRNA synthetases). tRNAs cope with the degeneracy of the genetic code in two manners: having more than one tRNA (with a specific anti-codon) for a particular amino acid; and 'wobble' base-pairing, i.e. permitting non-standard base-pairing at the 3rd anti-codon position.
Source: RNAcentral
GCGCUUGUAGCUCAGCGGACUAGAGCGCGAGAUUCCGAAUCUCGAGGGCGGGGGUUCAAAUCCCCUCAAGCGCA